This 232-nucleotide ribosomal RNA is filed under the name uncultured bacterium. Its description in RNAcentral is "partial 16S ribosomal RNA". It matches the Rfam family "Bacterial small subunit ribosomal RNA", at positions 99 to 334 of the family's 1533-position model. The record is from RNAcentral.
CGAACGGGUGAGUAAUAUAUCGGAACGUGCCCAGUAAUGGGGGAUAGCCCGGCGAAAGCCGGAUUAAUACCGCAUACGACCUACGGGUGAAAGCGGGGGAUCGCAAGACCUCGCGUUAUUGGAGCGGCCGAUAUCAGAUUAGCUAGUUGGCGGGGUAAGAGCCCACCAAGGCGACGAUCUGUAGCUGGUCUGAGAGGACGACCAGCCACACUGGGACUGAGACACGGCCCAG